UACAUUUAUAACCUUUCGAUUAAUUUUGACAAAAAAAACAUAUGGUUAACUAAUCUAAACUUAAAACAUCAACUUUAAACCCUAAAUCAUCAACUCUAAACCUUAAACCACGAGACAUCAACUCUAGACCCUAAACCCCGAAACAUCAACUCUAAACCUUCAAAUCUAAACCCUAAAAUAUCAACUCUAAACCCCAAACGUAAACCCUAAACCCUAAAUCUAAACUUAAAACAUCAACUUUAAACCUUAAAUCAUCAACUCUAAACCGUAAACCACGAAACAUCAACUCUAAAUCCUAAACCCCUAAACAUCAACUCUAAACCCUAAACCCUAAACCUUCAAAUCUAAACCCUAAAUCAUCAACUCUAAACCCUAAACGUAAACCGUAAACCCUAAAUCUAAACUUAAAACAUCAACUUUAAACCUUAAAUCAUCAACUCUAAACCCUAAACCAUGAAACAUCAACUCUAAACCCUAAACCCCGAAACAUCAACUCUAAACUCUAAACUUUAAACCUUCAAAUCUAAACCCUAAACCCUAAACUC
RNAcentral lists this long non-coding RNA (545 nucleotides) under Brassica napus (rape). Its description in RNAcentral is "long non-coding RNA (BNAP_LNC019850)". Lineage: Eukaryota; Viridiplantae; Streptophyta; Magnoliopsida; Brassicales; Brassicaceae. The record is from RNAcentral.